Molecule: long non-coding RNA, 201 nt
Filed under: Elaeis guineensis (African oil palm)
Lineage: Eukaryota; Viridiplantae; Streptophyta; Magnoliopsida; Arecales; Arecaceae
Description: long non-coding RNA (EGUI_LNC065928)
Source: RNAcentral
GGUCAAAUUGUGCACAUAAAAGAUUUGGAGAUUCAUCAUCAGAUGAUCCAGGUGAGGUCAAGCUAGGCAUGACACGUAUCCAAUGAUCAACUGCAUUUAGAUGCUAGUUGAAUCAAAUGUUGCUUCAAUCGAAUGCAGAUCAAGCAAUAGCUUAGAACAUUUUUGGUGUUAAAGAUGUGAAAUGCAGAACUCGAACCGGGU